RNAcentral lists this ribosomal RNA (1070 nucleotides) under uncultured Moraxella sp. RNAcentral describes it as "bacterial SSU rRNA". It matches the Rfam family "Bacterial small subunit ribosomal RNA", at positions 336 to 1397 of the family's 1533-position model. The record is from RNAcentral. Lineage: Bacteria; Pseudomonadati; Pseudomonadota; Gammaproteobacteria; Moraxellales; Moraxellaceae.
CUCCUACGGGAGGCAGCAGUGGGGAAUAUUGGACAAUGGGCGAAAGCCUGAUCCAGCCAUGCCGCGUGUGUGAAGAAGGUCUUCGGAUUGUAAAGCACUUUAAGUUGGGAGGAAGGGUUGUAGAUUAAUACUCUGCAAUUUUGACGUUACCGACAGAAUAAGCACCGGCUAACUCUGUGCCAGCAGCCGCGGUAAUACAGAGGGUGCAAGCGUUAAUCGGAAUUACUGGGCGUAAAGCGCGCGUAGGUGGCCAAUUAAGUCAAAUGUGAAAUCCCCGAGCUUAACUUGGGAACUGCAUGUGAUACUGGUGGUGCUAGAAUAUGUGAGAGGGAAGUAGAAUUCCAGGUGUAGCGGUGAAAUGCGUAGAGAUCUGGAGGAAUACCGAUGGCGAAGGCAGCUUCCUGGCAUAAUAUUGACACUGAGAUUCGAAAGCGUGGGUAGCAAACAGGAUUAGAUACCCUGGUAGUCCACGCCGUAAACGAUGUCUACUAGCCGUUGGGGUCCUUGAGACUUUAGUGGCGCAGUUAACGCGAUAAGUAGACCGCCUGGGGAGUACGGCCGCAAGGUUAAAACUCAAAUGAAUUGACGGGGGCCCGCACAAGCGGUGGAGCAUGUGGUUUAAUUCGAUGCAACGCGAAGAACCUUACCUGGUCUUGACAUAGUGAGAAUCCUGCAGAGAUGCGGGAGUGCCUUCGGGAAUUCACAUACAGGUGCUGCAUGGCUGUCGUCAGCUCGUGUCGUGAGAUGUUGGGUUAAGUCCCGCAACGAGCGCAACCCUUUUCCUUAUUUGCCAGCGGGUUAAGCCGGGAACUUUAAGGAUACUGCCAGUGACAAACUGGAGGAAGGCGGGGACGACGUCAAGUCAUCAUGGCCCUUACGACCAGGGCUACACACGUGCUACAAUGGUAGGUACAGAGGGUUGCUACACAGCGAUGUGAUGCUAAUCUCAAAAAGCCUAUCGUAGUCCGGAUUGGAGUCUGCAACUCGACUCCAUGAAGUCGGAAUCGCUAGUAAUCGCAGAUCAGAAUGCUGCGGUGAAUACGUUCCCGGGCCUUGUACACACCGCCCGU